GAUGAACGCUGGCGGCGUGCUUAACACAUGCAAGUCGAACGAAGCACUUUUAUUUGAUUUCUUCGGAAUGAAGAUUUUAGUGACUGAGUGGCGGACGGGUGAGUAACGCGUGGGCAACCUGCCUCAUACAAGGGGAUAACAGUUAGAAAUGACUGCUAAUACCGCAUAAGACCACAGCACCGCAUGGUGCAGGGGUAAAAACUCCGGUGGUAUGAGAUGGACCCGCGUCUGAUUAGGUAGUUGGUGGGGUAACGGCCUACCAAGCCGACGAGCAGUAGCCGACCUGAGAGGGUGACCGGCCACAGUGGGACUGAGACACGGCCCAAACUCCUACGGGAGGCAGCAGUGGGGAAUAUUGCACAAUGGGGGAAACCCUGAUGCAGCGACGCCGCGUGAGCGAUGAAGUAUUUCGGUAUGUAAAGCUCUAUCAGCAGGGAAGAAAAUGACGGUACCUGACUAAGAAGCACCGGCUAAAUACGUGCCAGCCGCCGCAGUAA
This 497-nucleotide ribosomal RNA is filed under the name uncultured bacterium. RNAcentral describes it as "partial 16S ribosomal RNA". It matches the Rfam family "Bacterial small subunit ribosomal RNA", at positions 28 to 523 of the family's 1533-position model. The record is from RNAcentral.